This 72-nucleotide transfer RNA is filed under the name Marmota monax (woodchuck). RNAcentral's name for it is "tRNA.Ala". The record is from RNAcentral. Lineage: Eukaryota; Metazoa; Chordata; Mammalia; Rodentia; Sciuridae.
GGGAUUGUGGCUCAGCGGUAGAGCGCUCACUUAGCACGAGCGGGACCACUGGGUUUGAUUCUCAGCAUCACA